This 170-nucleotide small nuclear RNA is filed under the name Carlito syrichta (Philippine tarsier). RNAcentral describes it as "U2 spliceosomal RNA (ENSTSYG00000036670.1)". It matches the Rfam family "U2 spliceosomal RNA". Rfam says of the family: U2 is a small nuclear RNA (snRNA) component of the spliceosome (involved in pre-mRNA splicing). The record is from Rfam by way of RNAcentral. Lineage: Eukaryota; Metazoa; Chordata; Mammalia; Primates; Tarsiidae.
AUCACUUCUCAGUCUUUUGACUAAGAUCAAGUGUAGUAUCUGAAGCAUCCUCUAUCCAAGGACAAUAUAUUAAAUUGAUUUUUGGAGCAGGUAGAUGGAAUAGGAGCUUUCUCUGUCCACUCCACACAUUUACCUGGUAUAGUAGUUCCUCCAGGAAUGGUGCAUUCCCU